CUUUAUAUCGCCCUCUAGCGGUAAAGUACUGUGUGUUUUUCCUCCCCGCUAGGGCAGUCCGCCUCUGUAUUGCAUAAAAACCACAUUGUUUUUGUCUUUCUUUUCAAGUGUUAUUGGUCUUAUGGUAACGUUUUUCAAAUGAUACCCAAAGGUUCUAUUGUUAGAUUCUUUAGUAUUUUUCUUUUCUUUUUGAUUUUGAUUAUUGCAUGUUUCUAAUGUACCAUGUAACGAAAGCGUUGUCUCUCAUGUAAGAAGGCCGCGUCUCCUGGGACAAAACUAAAUCAUUUCAGAUUCUCAGUCGACUUGACACCCUCUGCUCCAGUAAGAGACACUGAGGUCUCUCUACACUGCUUCAGCAUGGUGUGUGAGCUUUUCCUGCUCUCUUCUGUUUGGUUCCUCUUUGUCAUCUUCUGGAUGGAGACCAUAAGCGUCUGGCUUUUCCUCUGCAACUUUUACCAGGACCGUGUCUUCUAUCCUUGGGGAGAUGGAAUAUUUGCUGAUGACCCAAGUCACAUGCUCUACAUGCUAGGGAGAGUAGAAGGCCCAAGACAAAUGGAGACCUGAUAAAAGAUGGGGGAACGAGACGGAGGUGGCAGUGAGAGGAUAAAAGGUUCAGGAGGGUCACUCGUCCAUAUCGGAGACACUUUUUCUGAGCCCUCAGUGAUUCACUUCUCCCAGCACGCUUGUCACUUUAACAGAGGGCUGAGUGAGAUAAGUGUCAUAAAUAAUAACGCAAACACUGAAAAUCCCCACGCCUGUGUCCCUCUAGAACAUGGCUUUGAACACUCUUCACAAAGUGUGCUUGAGGUUUUCUGCAUCUGACCCUAAGACUAACAGACCUAAGGGUUCUUAUGUCACAACGAGGAACCGCAGUCCACAGUCACCGAAGAUUCUCCCAAGCUGUAAUCCACAGUUUCGGAUGUAUUCAUUUCAGUGACCUGGUGCAUCUGGGAUAAUUCCAUAAAUUAAACUUCUGGCUUCAUAAGAUGCAGAAAUGUUUUCUUUACAUUUAGGUUUAAAAAUCAUGCCAGCAAAUAAUGAUAUUUUGACCUAAGCAUGUCUAAGUAUAUAAGAUAACUUCUGUUUAGUUGAAACUUGUUGUUUCAAGUAGCGGUUACUUUUGUAACAUAGCAGUUCAUUCAUAUGUAAACAAACAGUUGGUUGGUUGUUUCCCGUUAGGAACCAGGCCAGCCAGUUAGUUUGUAGUAAUGUUCUGUGGGCUUGAAUCAUGCAGGAAAUUUUGUUGUUUGUGUAAAACUCUCCUGUUGCUCUGCUUGCACACUUAUUCUGAGUGCCAAUCUUCUGCUCUCAUGCCAAGCCAGUAUAUUCCAGCUCUCAAAAUUUUCUUUGAAAAAUGGAUCAAAUUUGCUGGACGUGGAUUGAGAUUAUAUUAUCAUGUCUAAAUUUGCUGUUUGUGUGUGUGUCCCACUUCUGAAAUGGAUUUUCUGCAAAUGGUGGUAAUACAGUCAUACAACCAAAA
Paramormyrops kingsleyae is the source of this 1480-nucleotide long non-coding RNA. RefSeq lists it as uncharacterized. The record is from RefSeq and is a predicted model, not a curated record. NCBI's taxonomy places the organism in Eukaryota, Metazoa, Chordata, Actinopteri, Osteoglossiformes, Mormyridae.